UCCAACUUGAGAGUUUGAUCCUGGCUCAGAGCGAACGCUGGCGGCAGGCCUAACACAUGCAAGUCGAGCGGCCGUAGCAAUACGGCAGCGGCAGACGGGAGAGUAACACGUGGGAACGCGCCCUUUGGUUCGGAAUAACUCAGGGAAACUUGAGCUAAUACCGGAUAAGCCCUUACGGGGAAAGAUUUAUCGCCAAAGGAACGGCCCGCGUCCGAUUAGCUAGUUGGUGAGGUAACGGCUCACCAAGGCGACGAUCGGUAGCUGGUCUGAGAGGAUGACCAGCCUCACUGGGACUGAGACACGGCCCAGACUCCUACGGGAGGCAGCAGUGGGGAAUAUUGGACAAUGGGCGCAAGCCUGAUCCAGCCAUGCCGCGUGAGUGAUGAAGGCCUUAGGGUUGUAAAGCUCUUUUAGCAGGGAAGAUAAUGACGGUACCUGCAGAAAAAGCCCCGGCUAACUUCGUGCCAGCAGCCGCGGUAAUACGAAGGGGGCUAGCGUUGCUCGGAAUUACUGGGCGUAAAGCGCACGUAGGCGGCUUCUUAAGUCGGUGGUGAAAUCCUGGAGCUCAACUCCAGAACUGCCUUCGAUACUGGGAAGCUCGAGUUCGGGAGAGGUGAGUGGAACUGCGAGUGUAGAGGUGAAAUUCGUAGAUAUUCGCAAGAACACCAGUGGCGAAGGCGGCUCACUGGCCCGAUACUGACGCUGAGG
This 708-nucleotide ribosomal RNA is filed under the name Hyphomicrobiales bacterium. RNAcentral describes it as "bacterial SSU rRNA". It matches the Rfam family "Bacterial small subunit ribosomal RNA", at positions 1 to 751 of the family's 1533-position model. The record is from RNAcentral. Lineage: Bacteria; Pseudomonadati; Pseudomonadota; Alphaproteobacteria; Hyphomicrobiales.